Molecule: ribosomal RNA, 484 nt
Filed under: uncultured bacterium
Lineage: Bacteria
Description: partial 16S ribosomal RNA
Rfam family: Bacterial small subunit ribosomal RNA
Source: RNAcentral
AUUGAACGCUGGCGGCAGGCCUAACACAUGCAAGUCGAGCGGAUGAAGGGAGCUUGCUCCUGGAUUCAGCGGCGGACGGGUGAGUAAUGCCUAGGAAUCUGCCUGGUAGUGGGGGAUAACGUCCGGAAACGGGCGCUAAUACCGCAUACGUCCUGAGGGAGAAAGUGGUGGAUCUUCGGACCUCACGCUAUCAGAUGAGCCUAGGUCGGAUUAGCUAGUUGGUGGGGUAAAGGCCUACCAAGGCGACGAUCCGUAACUGGUCUGAGAGGAUGAUCAGUCACACUGGAACUGGGAAACGGUCCAGACUCCUAGGGGAGGCAGCAGUGGGGAAUAUUGGACAAUGGGCGAAAGCCUGAUCCAGCCAUGCCGCGUGUGUGAAGAAGGUCUUCGGAUUGUAAAGCACUUUAAGUUGGGAGGAAGGGCAGUAAGUUAAUACCUUGCUGUUUUGACGUUACCAACAGAAUAAGCAACGGCUAACCUCGUG